GACCAGACUCCUACGGGAGGCAGCAGUGGGGAAUAUUGGGCAAUGGGCGCAAGCCUGACCCAGCAAUGCCGCGUGAAGGAAGAAGGCUUUCGGGUUGUAAACUUCUUUGACAGGGGAAGAGCAGAAGACGGUACCUGACUAAGAAGCCCCAGCUAACUACGUGCCAGCAGCCGCGGUAAUACGUAGGGGGCAAGCGUUAUCCGGAUUUACUGGGUGUAAAGGGAGCGUAGACGGCAUGGCAAGUCAGAUGUGAAAGCCCGGGGCUCAACCCCGGGACUGCAUUUGAAACUGUCAGGCUGGAGUGCAGGAGAGGUAAGCGGAAUUCCUAGUGUAGCGGUGAAAUGCGUAGAUAUUAGGAAGAACACCAGUGGCGAAGGCGGCUUACUGGACAGUAACUGACGUUGAGGCUCGAAAGCGUGGGGAGCAAACAGGAUUAGAUACCCGAGUA
RNAcentral lists this ribosomal RNA (448 nucleotides) under uncultured bacterium. RNAcentral describes it as "bacterial SSU rRNA". It matches the Rfam family "Bacterial small subunit ribosomal RNA", at positions 329 to 792 of the family's 1533-position model. The record is from RNAcentral.